This is a long non-coding RNA of Papilio machaon (common yellow swallowtail), 575 nucleotides long. RefSeq lists it as uncharacterized. The transcript is spliced from 3 exons. NCBI's taxonomy places the organism in Eukaryota, Metazoa, Arthropoda, Insecta, Lepidoptera, Papilionidae. The record is from RefSeq and is a predicted model, not a curated record.
CAAUACGCAUAAAACUUCUUAUAUUAUAUGUCGCUUCAUAAGAGGCGCACGUGUUUUUUAGAAAUUGUCUUCUGUGGAGUGUAGAUGCUUGAUAGUUGAUUGAAAAUUAUAAAUAUGAGAGUUAAUAUAAGAUCGCUUUUAUGGAUUGUUUUAAUCGUACCUGUUUGUUCGAUGAAAACAUCAAAGAAAUUAACAACCGGAUGUUUUUAUAAAUAUGAUUAUAAUACUUGUGAAAUUUAUAUCGAUUGCAUAGACAGUGUAAAUACAUAUGAAAUAAACUAUGACGCCUUAUAUAUACAAUGUAGUCAAUUUUAUACUUCUAUAGCUUUUAGAAGAACGGAUUUUGGUGAUAUGGAUACUAUUUCAUGGAUAAACAAUGAUAAUAAACGAAUUGUUUCACUCGAUUUAAGUCAUAACCAAUUCAAAUAUAUGCCUACGUUGGAUCUUAUGCCAAAUUUGAAAAAAUUAAACAUGUCCCACAAUAUUUUAAAUGUUGCCAAACUAUCGAACGAAGUAAAUUAUAAAUUACAUAUAAUUGAUUUUUCGUACAAUAAAAUUAUGCAAAUAGAAUUAAA